CCAGUGGUUUUACCCUAUGGUAGG
Molecule: microRNA, 24 nt
Filed under: Xenopus laevis (African clawed frog)
Lineage: Eukaryota; Metazoa; Chordata; Amphibia; Anura; Pipidae
Description: xla-miR-140-5p
Gene: xla-miR-140-5p
Source: miRBase by way of RNAcentral